CGGGCAUUGGCACAAAAAGGAAAGGAAAAAGUUAUCAAGGAGUAAUCGAGAAAUUCGGGUUAAUAGGUAUUCAGAGUCUCGGUUUAGCGUCCAAGCGAUCCCGAUUCUAGAGCAAACUCGGUGAUGUAUUCUUCUUUUGGUAAAAGUGGCAUGUACAUAGGUGUUAUUUUAAUACUUUAAAAUGCUAUAUGAUUUUUGUUGUAAAGAGUGAUAUUUGAUAUUUUGGUGUUUAAACAAUGAAAUGGUAUGAAAAUUUAUAUGAUAUAUUUGGUAUAAUUAGAUA
Molecule: long non-coding RNA, 283 nt
Organism: Gossypium arboreum
Lineage: Eukaryota; Viridiplantae; Streptophyta; Magnoliopsida; Malvales; Malvaceae
Exons: 2
Source: RefSeq, a predicted model, not a curated record